Molecule: long non-coding RNA, 641 nt
Organism: Drosophila obscura
Lineage: Eukaryota; Metazoa; Arthropoda; Insecta; Diptera; Drosophilidae
Exons: 2
Source: RefSeq, a predicted model, not a curated record
CCAAGGAACCCAAAGGAACAAAGCGUUCACGCGAUAAGACAUAUUUGUUCCAAACAUUUGUGGUUUUAUGUACACAAGAAUUUUAAUUCAAGUGGAAAUUGUAAUGCAGAAUGACAACAAAAGAAAAUGUAACGAGAAAUUUAAGUUCCAUGGCGUUUUUUUCAGUAUAUAUAAGUAUAUAGGUAUGUAAGUAUUUGCAUGGGCUGGCCACACUGAUCGCUAAAUAGAAGGAAACGCGCUGUUGAAGAAUUAUAUUUGAUCACAUUUGCUUUUGUAUUCAAAAGUCAAACCCAGGUCCCCUUAGAAACUAACAAAAAUUUAUUAUUGCUAUGGAGAGCAAACAAGUAACAACUAAAAACAAAAAAUAUCACACUCGUCAAAAAUUCGAAAUUCUAAAUUUAAAAAAUUUUUGUAAAAGUUUUAUUUUAUAUCCAUUCAUAUAGAAUGGAAACACCAAAAUUCAUACGUCUAUUGCGAUAUUGAAUUGCGAGCCACGAGCAGACAGGUCUAUCAUCAGCUCACGUCUGAUCCGCAAGUUGAUUAUUAUUCUGCUUCCUACUGAACUCCUCCUGCUGCUCCUUGCUAUGCCAAUACAGACGUGCCCGCGCCACCACGACAACUUCAACACGAACUUGAACAAG